This 263-nucleotide ribosomal RNA is filed under the name uncultured Enterobacterales bacterium. Its description in RNAcentral is "partial 16S ribosomal RNA". It matches the Rfam family "Bacterial small subunit ribosomal RNA", at positions 524 to 786 of the family's 1533-position model. Lineage: Bacteria; Pseudomonadati; Pseudomonadota; Gammaproteobacteria; Enterobacterales. The record is from RNAcentral.
UACGGAGGGUGCAAGCGUUAAUCGGAAUUACUGGGCGUAAAGCGCACGCAGGCGGUCUGUCAAGUCGGAUGUGAAAUCCCCGGGCUCAACCUGGGAACUGCAUUCGAAACUGGCAGGCUACGAGUCUUGUAGAGGGGGGUAGAAUUCCAGGUGUAGCGGUGAAAUGCGUAGAGAUCUGGAGGAAUACCGGUGGCGAAGGCGGCCCCUGGACAAAGACUGACGCUCAGGUGCGAAAGCGUGGGGAGCAAACAGGAUUAGAUACC